AUAGCCAGUCAAGUUCCAUGUACCAUCAUGCAGAAAGAAACAGCUGAAUACAGCAGUUCAUGGAGAGAAACAUACAUCUCUAAAGGAGAUUCCAGCCCACCCAAGCUUUGGAUGUUCCGAGGUUUUUGUUGCCAAGUACGGAACUGAACUGCUACAGCAAGUGAAUUAAACUGCAGAUUUGGUCCUUUUAGAAGAAAGUUGAAGGCAGCUGUUAGAGGAGCAAGAAGCUUGAAUUUUUAUAAUUCAAUUUAGUUUAUAUGUGAAGGGCUUCUCUUUCUGUUACAAUAAGUACUAAAGCUUUCACU
Molecule: long non-coding RNA, 305 nt
Organism: Pseudopipra pipra
Lineage: Eukaryota; Metazoa; Chordata; Aves; Passeriformes; Pipridae
Exons: 3
Source: RefSeq, a predicted model, not a curated record